GACGAACGCUGGCGGCGCGCCUAAUGCAUGCAAGUCGAGCGACGCAUAUCGGAGGAGUAAUCCACUGGUAUGACGGAGCGGCGAACGGGUGAGUAUCACGUGAGGAACCUGCCCCGAAGACCGGGAUAGCCCGGGAAACCCGGAUUAAUACCGGAUACUCUCUACAGAUCGCAUGGUCUGUUGAGGAAAGGCCUUUGUGCUUCGGGAUGGUCUCGCGGCCUAUCAGCUAGUUGGUGAGGUAAUGGCUCACCAAGGCAACGACGGGUAGCUGGUCUGAGAGGACGAUCAGCCACACUGGGACUGAGACACGGCCCAGACUCCGUACGGGAGGCAGCAGCGAGGGAAUCUUGUCCAAGUGGGACGAAAGCCUGAGACAGCGACGCCGCGUGGGGGAUGAAGGCCUUCGGGUUGUAAACCCCUUUCAGGAGGGACGAAAUUGACGGUACCUCCAGAAGAAGCCCCGGCCAACUACGUG
Molecule: ribosomal RNA, 475 nt
Filed under: uncultured bacterium
Lineage: Bacteria
Description: bacterial SSU rRNA
Rfam family: Bacterial small subunit ribosomal RNA
Source: RNAcentral